Eurytemora carolleeae is the source of this 342-nucleotide long non-coding RNA. RefSeq lists it as uncharacterized. The record is from RefSeq and is a predicted model, not a curated record. The transcript is spliced from 2 exons. Lineage: Eukaryota; Metazoa; Arthropoda; Copepoda; Calanoida; Temoridae.
CUUUUCAGUGCAGUUUAAAAGUAAAGAUGCAGAUGUUAAUAUUUUUGCUAGUAUCAUCUCUUAUAUAUUCUACUUCAGGGGAGAUAAAGCCUAACCUUAAAUUGAAAAAUAAGCUGCCUCAUGCUCAAUAUGUUAUCAAUGUAGAAAGAUUGAAAUAUCUAGAAAAGACAAAACUAUGGACAAAGUAUACAAAACAGAAAAGGACCGGAAAGGAAAUGAAAAAUACCCACACAAGGAAAGAAUGGAAAGCAAGAGAAAGUGUAAAUUUUUCAACAGAUUUUACGCUUAAUUGUUCUUAAUGUCACAUAAUAUAAUCUUUAGAAUAUAUUCCUGUGAUGAGGA